Molecule: ribosomal RNA, 885 nt
Filed under: uncultured Hydrogenophilales bacterium
Lineage: Bacteria; Pseudomonadati; Pseudomonadota; Hydrogenophilia; Hydrogenophilales
Description: bacterial SSU rRNA
Rfam family: Bacterial small subunit ribosomal RNA
Source: RNAcentral
CCCUUGCCGCGGUAAUACGUAGGGUGCGAGCGUUAAUCGGAAUUACUGGGCGUAAAGCGUGCGCAGGCGGAUUGUUAAGCAAGACAUGAAAUCCCCGGGCUUAACCUGGGAAUGGCGUUUUGAACUGGCAGUCUAGAGUGCGUCAGAGGGGGGUGGAAUUCCACGUGUAGCAGUGAAAUGCGUAGAGAUGUGGAGGAACACCAAUGGCGAAGGCAGCCCCCUGGGAUGACACUGACGCUCAUGUACGAAAGCGUGGGUAGCAAACAGGAUUAGAUACCCUGGUAGUCCACGCCCUAAACGAUGUCAACUGGUUGUUGGGGGAGUGAAAUCCCUUAGUAACGAAGCUAACGCGUGAAGUUGACCGCCUGGGGAGUACGGUCGCAAGAUUAAAACUCAAAGGAAUUGACGGGGACCCGCACAAGCGGUGGAUGAUGUGGAUUAAUUCGAUGCAACGCGAAAAACCUUACCUACCCUUGACAUGUCCAGAACCCUGAAGAGAUUUGGGGGUGCCCGAAAGGGAAUUGGAACACAGGUGCUGCAUGGCUGUCGUCAGCUCGUGUCGUGAGAUGUUGGGUUAAGUCCCGCAACGAGCGCAACCCUUAUCAUUAGUUGCUACGCAAGGGCACUCUAAUGAGACUGCCGGUGACAAACCGGAGGAAGGUGGGGAUGACGUCAAGUCCUCAUGGCCCUUAUGGGUAGGGCUUCACACGUCAUACAAUGGUCGGUACAGAGGGUUGCCAAGCCGCGAGGUGGAGCCAAUCCCAGAAAGCCGAUCGUAGUCCGGAUUGUUCUCUGCAACUCGAGAGCAUGAAGUCGGAAUCGCUAGUAAUCGCGGAUCAGCAUGUCGCGGUGAAUACGUUCCCGGGUCUUGUACACACCGCCCGA